GUGUGUACCCACAUAAGGUGGGUCAGAUGAAGAAUGAAUGAAGGGGAAGGUUAAGGGCUGUCCAGAGGACGGUGCCAGAGCCAGAGCCUUGUGGGUAUUUCAUCAGUUUUUUCAAACUGGGUAAAACGUCAAGGACACAAUCGGAAACAAUCCGAGUCCAGAGUGUAGAGAGCAGACAAACAAACCGUUUAACUCUUAGCGUUCUCACCGCUUGCCUAGCAUGCCUCUGGAGGAUGCAAUGUUACUCAAGCUAGAGCUAGGCUACAUUGCUUUGCCAGGGAAUAGGACCAUGAGAACCGGAGACAUGGCCUGCUUCUUUAUCUCCUAAACUCUGUAGCUCUGUGGUGCUUCCCAGAAACACUUGGUCUACCAGGAGACACUCUGACGCACACACCACGACCUGGCUGGGAUCAGCAAGGCCUCAUCCUGCCGUUACUAUACCUGCACACACCUAUGCAGGCACGCAGGUUCUCAUCCACAUCACAAUGGAUGCUUUCAUUAGCCAAACAUCUUGGGAAGAAUCUUCAGGCAUGGCGAAUCCAGGCCUGACACUGGUCUGCCGUGAUGUCAUUGUAUGCGUCAUCCAUGGCCUGGAGAAGGGUGGCUUGUUCCUGAGGGCGCCUAUCAUAUACCUUCCAACUCCAUGUGGAGAAAAAAAAUCCUCAAUCGGGUUAAGGAAAGGAGAGUAUGGGGGGAGGGGAGAUAGACAGAGAGGAGGAGAGCAGAAAGAGAGGGAGGAGGUUACAGUGAGAGGAGAGCAGUAAGGGAAGAAAAGCUCACAUCGAGAAGUCACAUCUGGAAGUCUCCCAGCAGAGAUGCCAGUGAAAUUGAGCACUGGGAGCUGAGAGCAGCCUAAUGAAAGUCAUCGUUAUGUAAUUGCUCUUCCAUGUGCUACACUAGAGCCAGGCUCAGCCAGGACACCGUAACCAUCACAGUCUGCCUCACUCUGUCUGGAGGAUGGAAAGACAGCUAGUACACCCUUUUAAAGAAGUAACCUACCCCUCCACAUAAGAAGAAGACAUAAUACUUUUGGCAAUGAAUUAAGUCAUCUUCUUUUGACCUACCCACUGCGCCCAGGAUAAGGUUGAUGUUGCUAUGGUCGGUCUUGUCUGAGUUAU
Molecule: long non-coding RNA, 1118 nt
Filed under: Salmo salar (Atlantic salmon)
Lineage: Eukaryota; Metazoa; Chordata; Actinopteri; Salmoniformes; Salmonidae
Description: lncRNA (ENSSSAG00000095860.1, ENSSSAG00000110858.1)
Source: RNAcentral